GGGGAGACUCCGGUGGUUUUGCCGUUGGCGGUGCUGGUGUCGCCGCCGGUUCCGUCGGUCUUGAGGUCGUAUUCGGUGCCGGUGCCGAGCUUCGCCU
RNAcentral lists this transfer RNA (97 nucleotides) under Geomonas silvestris. Its description in RNAcentral is "tRNA-Thr". Lineage: Bacteria; Pseudomonadati; Thermodesulfobacteriota; Desulfuromonadia; Geobacterales; Geobacteraceae. The record is from RNAcentral.